Molecule: ribosomal RNA, 497 nt
Filed under: uncultured bacterium
Lineage: Bacteria
Description: partial 16S ribosomal RNA
Rfam family: Bacterial small subunit ribosomal RNA
Source: RNAcentral
GAUGAACGCUGGCGGCGUGCCUAACACAUGCAAGUCGAACGACAGCACGAUAAGCUUGUGCCUCUACCGGUAGCGGGUGACGGACGGGUGAGACAUGCAUCACCUUCUUCUUAUUCUUGGGUAAUUUCGGAGAACCAGUUAUGCUAAUACCGCAUAUAUCCUACGGGUGGGUGCAGUGGUGCUUCACGCUUUUCCCGUUUCUUAGAGCCGGUUCCGUGCCGGAUUAGCUAGUUGGUAAGGUAACGGCUAACCAAGGCGACGAUGCGUAGCUGAUCUGAGAGGAUGAUCAGCCACACUGGAACUGAGACACGGUCCAGACUCCUACGGGAGGCAGCAGUGGGGAAUAUUGGACAAUGGGCGCAAGCCUGAUCCAGCCAUACCGCGUGGGUGAAGAAGGCCUUCGGGUUGUAAAGCCCUGUUGUUGGGAAAGAAAAGCAGCAGGUUAAUACCCCGCUGUUCUGACGGUACCCAAAGAAUAAGCACCGGCUAACUUCGUG